UGGCUCAGUGGUAGAGUGCUUGCCUUGCAUGCAUGAGGCUCUGGGUUUGAUUCCUUG
RNAcentral lists this transfer RNA (57 nucleotides) under Dipodomys ordii (Ord's kangaroo rat). It matches the Rfam family "tRNA", at positions 8 to 63 of the family's 71-position model. Rfam says of the family: Transfer RNA (tRNA) molecules are approximately 80 nucleotides in length. Their secondary structure includes four short double-helical elements and three loops (D, anti-codon, and T loops). Lineage: Eukaryota; Metazoa; Chordata; Mammalia; Rodentia; Heteromyidae. The record is from Rfam by way of RNAcentral.